UUUGGUGUAUUCAACCCGUGAUCCUUUUAGUGGAGAAGGCGGGUGGGUGGGCGAGAGGGAAGGGCCGGGGCGUCGCCCCCGACGCAGACGAGACCGCCGGCGGCCUUGCAGGGGCUUGCGGUGGCGCGGUGGACGAGGAACUACCGGAUCUCGACGGAUCCGGUGGGGAAUGGAGCGGGGGCGGCGAAUCGGGAAGGAAGGCGGCCGGAGCUUGGAGCACGACGGCUGGCCGGCGCGCCAUGGCGUCGGGUACCUGCGAGAGAAGAGAGAGACAAGUGGGAGAGAAAAGGGAGGACGGGAGGAAGGAGAUGGAAGGCCGGAGGGAGAAAGAAGAGAGCGGUGAGGUGCGGCAGCGGUCCUGCUGCUGCUGCUGCUCGCUGGUGGCUCACCGACCAUCGGCGCUAGGUGGGGCUCGGGUGCGUGGAGGCGUCGGGGAUCGAGGGAGCUCUCCUCAAUCGCGGUUGGAGGCACUCGGGGUCGAGCAAGGGAGCGACGUUCCGUCGUCGCCUUGGUCGGCCUUCGUCCGUUCCCCUCGUGUGCCUUAUCCCCUCAGGUCACACGUAAGCUACAUCCCCUCUCACUUCCCCAUUAAUUUGCUACCUUUGAUUAGAUUUCUCUGGUUGAAAUUGGAGCCUCAUCUAGUUUAGUGUUGAUCUGAGCUACACACUAGCGAUUAUUUCUGCGCAUGGUUGUAUUCAAAGGAGAUUUUGGAUGGAUGCGGGUGCUGCUGCUGGAUGCAGUUGUUGGAAUUGUACAGGAAUUCAGUGGAUAAUGUGUCAGAAAGUUAGACAAUUUAGCUAUGGAUAUUUUCAAUAUUUAGCAACCUGCUUUGGGGUCUCAGUGUUCUGCAGAUAAAUUUCUGAUGCCUUGCACUUCUAGGAGUUGUGGUUUAUCUAUGCAAACAUGAACCUUAUAUAACUAAUUGGUGUUCCGUUGAUGUGUCCAAAUGACCCUGAAAUAUAAAAUUGAAUUGUGUAAGUGAAUUGAUGAUGAUACAUGCUUCAGUUUCUGAAUAUUGGGAAGCAAUCUUCAUGACAUUUCCAUGUGAAUCUUUUGAAAUCCACUUUUGGGUGACUCAUUUUUUAUUAUAAUGAAUUUAAAUUCACAUUUCAAUUACUUAUGAACAAAGCUGGUGCAUAUAUUGAAGGAGGCUCAACAUUGAUGGUUACACCCUGCCGAGAUUUGUGAGAACUGCCCACUUUUUCUUUUAUGGGUGUAGCAUCUGCAGGCUUACAAGCAAUCAUUAAUUUUGUUAAGCAACAGAAUGCUACAGUUAUGUACAGAGUUACAGGCGAGGGGCGAUGAGAGUUGGUUUAUGUUGGUAUUCAACUUGGUUUGGUACAUCUAUAUAAAGCUCACAUGUAUUCCACUACAUUUGUCUUAAAAGUGUAUCCGUGUAGAUUUUCAGUUCAAAGGUUUGCAUUAAGUCUAUUUUCACUCCAUGCAGAUGAUACAUUUCUUAUCACCCAAUGCACUGUUUAGGGGAUCCUUCUAAUCUGGCAUGCUUUUUGGUCUGCCCUGCUUUACGUAGUUCAUGUUGACUCCUUAAUUCUUCAGUGAUAAUGAGCUAUUCAUGGAUCUAGCAACUGACUGUAUUUGCUUUGUCCCGAGAUGAUGGAUACUUUUUUGUCAUGAGAUCAUGGAUACUUGAAUGUCCUUUGUUGACCACAUACAGUUUCUGAUUGUUUUCGUACGUUUAUGCCUCUUCUGAGCUUGUGGAACCCAUUUAUUUUCCCAAAGAUAACUUGUGCCUGCUAAGUCUUGGGAUCCAUUUUUUUGUUCCUAUGUGACCAAUCCGUAGAAGAAUGCAUGCUCCUGAGCCAUAGAAGAAAUCAGUAGGUGGACAAAGUUGAGGGCCCGAGGUAGCAAUAGUUCUUCAAAGGCAUUGGACAAUAAUUGAUUGGUCGAAGGUAUCAUUUUCUGUCGAACUUCAAUUGACAGGGAAGAAAUUCUUUCUAUAUGUGCCUUUGGUUUUCUUUCGCUUAGGGAGUUCAUACAGUUCUUUUUUCAGGGCAAGAGAUUCUUCAGCUAGAUAACAAAGAUCACUUUAAUUAAUUAGACCAGAAGUUGCUUUUACCAUUGAGCUUCAGUUGACAGGGAAAAAAUUGUUUAUGUCUAUGCCUUUGGUUUUCUUUUACUUAGGGAGUUUGUAUAGUUUUUUUCAGGGGGAGAGAUUCUUCAGCUAGAUGAGAAAGAGCACUCUGAUUAAUUAGAUCAGAAGUUGCGUGUGAUGAUGAUUGCUCCUGCAGACUACAAUGGCACCAACCACCAGGCGAGGUCGUCAGUGAGGCGCCAUUGGUGGACAUGAGAAUCAUUUUGAGGAAACAGUGAACAAAAAAGUUGGGGCAUCCAUUCCUGAGUAAUCAGCUGGGAGAAGCCCAGAAAAAUCUGACAGGAGUGGUGACACUAGCAGCAGCAUGCCUGAUACAAGACCCCUGAAUAGUGAUUGGAGCAUUAAAGCCAUGGUGGUAUUCAUUUUUUGCAGCCGUUGGAUGAUGUAUCAUAAAACAGAAUUUCACUUCGGAUAGCUGCAUGUGUACAUAUGUGGUGGAGGAACUCAACAAUUUCCAGUAAAAGCAAACGUUUUUGCAGUCAAAGGUAACCUUUGCUACAUCUGCUAUUGAAUAUAUGUUGGGGAGGACAGUAGCAGUUUUCAGAUGUUUGUGUGUUAAAUCCAUUGUAGGCUUUCCAUCUGUGCAUUAUUCAUAAUCUUAAUGGGCUUCAAUUUUAUGCUGCAUGAUCCAGAUAAAUUUAUUGGUUAUUUAAAAUAUCGACAGAUAUUUUCUAUAUCUGGAAGGAUGGGCCACAUUGAACUCACUAAUUCUUUUACAAGCGCACAUGAAUUGGUAAUACAGGCCGGUCAUGUUUUCCAACUUUCCCUUCUUCUCCUGAUGUUCCCAUGUACUACUUGCCAAGGAUCAAGUGCCUCUAACGUUAUACAUGUGUACGUAUAUCGAAUGAUAUACUUUUUACUAGGGAUUUCUUUAUCGAGUGUUUAACAUGCUUUAGUUAGUUUGCAUGGCAUUUCCACUAUGCUUAGAACAACAUUGUGAAGGUACGUGUUAUUCUACCUCUUGGGCUGUAAUGCUCCAUUCAUUCAAUGUUUUAGGUUGUGCUUCUCGAUGAUCAGAUAUUUAUGGCAUGGUGGAUGAUGCUUCAUGGUGAUCAUGGUGCCAUGGUGGUGGUGUGCAUGGCAUCGAUGGUACUUCAUGCAUGCAUGGUUGCUUUCUUUGCAACAGAUAUGCAGCGCUGCCUUUUCGCUUCUUCUCUAUUUUAUAUGUCUAAUUGUUCCAGGGGUCUAACAGCAGGCAGUAUAUUUCACGGGAUUUCUAUAUCAGUAGUUUGGUGAUCAAACUUUUUCAUGCACCUAUAAUUAUGCAUUGGCCUUCUCGAUAUAGUUGGAAUGCUACAUCCAUUUAUUAUAUCAUAUUGCCAUGAGUUAUAACCGUGUCUUCAUGUUUGUCCUAUUUUACUUACCUUCCUAUGUUUUCUUGAGAAACUUCAUGCCUGCGAAGCUGUGGUGACUUGAUGACAGGAGAAGUGGUCAGGAUUGAGCCAUCGGACAAGAGAUGACCGCCGUCGAUUGCCAACAAAUUUUUGUAUGCCGCAGUGAGCGGGAUGGGUUCAAUAUCUUCAGAUGCUCUGCGCUGCACCGGCUAUAUUUGAUAUGAGUCCACAUGCAAAAUAAAGGCAUCACACGUUCUGGGUUGCUUAGCUAUGUGUUUUUUUUCGUGAUUGGAUUAUAUGCUACUCGGUGUUGAAGGGUUUGUUCAUGUCAAAGUUAACAAAUCUUGUGAUGUUACCAGAGAUUGCCCAUUUACUCAUUCUGCAUGGGAUGGUCAGGGUUUGAUUAUUUUUGUCAGCAGACUUUCAUUCAGAAAAUAACCCAAUGGCGCUCGCAUGUUCUCUUUACUUAUGUACCUACACAAUAGUGCUUUAUUAAUUUUGUUGUGCAAAUAAUCAGUCGUUGUGUUUAUGAGAAAUGAUAAUGACUCGCACCACUACCAUCCUAUA
This is a long non-coding RNA of Triticum urartu, 4014 nucleotides long. RefSeq lists it as uncharacterized. NCBI's taxonomy places the organism in Eukaryota, Viridiplantae, Streptophyta, Magnoliopsida, Poales, Poaceae. The record is from RefSeq and is a predicted model, not a curated record.